RNAcentral lists this long non-coding RNA (323 nucleotides) under Lathyrus oleraceus (garden pea). Its description in RNAcentral is "Pisum sativum (pea) long non-coding RNA (PSAT_LNC019120)". The record is from RNAcentral. Lineage: Eukaryota; Viridiplantae; Streptophyta; Magnoliopsida; Fabales; Fabaceae.
CUAAGGGGGUACUAGGCUAAAAUUCAGAGACAAAAGUGACUUGAAAGAAACUGUGGGAGUUGAAUUUACAAAAGAUUUCAUUCACUUCAACAACUAUAUAGUAAUUAUUUUCUCUUCUCCUUUCUCUUUUUCUUUUUCUUUUCUUUUUCAGAAGGAGUAUCUAUUGACAUGUAUUGAUAUCCUUCUAUUUUUUUUCAUUCAUUUUUUUCUUUUUCUUUUCUUUUUCUGUCAACUUCUGAAAUAUUACUAACAUAAUUAUUCAACCCCACACAACUCUAAACAAGACUCUUUCAACCCAUUUGAAUAGGGUGAUAACAUUGUUU